This 420-nucleotide ribosomal RNA is filed under the name uncultured bacterium. RNAcentral describes it as "bacterial SSU rRNA". It matches the Rfam family "Bacterial small subunit ribosomal RNA", at positions 359 to 776 of the family's 1533-position model. The record is from RNAcentral.
GAAUAUUGGGCAAUGGAUGCAAGUCUGACCCAGCCAUGCCGCGUGCCGGAUGAAGGCCCUCAGGGUUGUAAACGGCUUUUAUUCGGGAAGAAGAGCAGGGAUGCGUCCUUGUGUGACGGUACCGAAUGAAUAAGCACCGGCUAACUCCGUGCCAGCAGCCGCGGUAAUACGGAGGGUGCGAGCGUUGUCCGGAUUUAUUGGGUUUAAAGGGUGCGUAGGUGGCUUUAUAAGUCAGUGGUGAAAUACGGUUGCUCAACAAUCGAGGUGCCAUUGAUACUGUAAAGCUUGAAAUAAUUGGAGGCUGCCGGAAUGGAUGGUGUAGCGGUGAAAUGCAUAGAUAUCAUCCAGAACACCGAUUGCGAAGGCAGGUGGCUACGAUUGGUUUGACACUGAGGCACGAAAGCAUGGGGAGCAAACAGG